AGCGAACGCUGGCGGCAGGCCUAACACAUGCAAGUCGAACGAACCUUUCGGGGUUCGUGGCGGUUGGGUGAGUAACACGUGGGAACGUGCCUUUAGGUUCGGAAUAACUCAGGGAAACUUGUGCUAAUACCGAAUGUGCCCUUCGGGGGAAAGAUUUAUCGCCUUUAGAGCGGCCCGCGUCGGAUUAGCUAGUUGGUUGAGGUAAUGGCUCACCAAGGCGACGAUCAGUAGCUGGUCUGAGAGGAUGAUCAGCCACAUUGGGACUGAGACACGGCCCAAACUCCUACGGGAGGCAGCAGUGGGGAAUCUUGCGCAAUGGGCGAAAGCCUGACGCAGCCAUGCCGCGUGAAUGAUGAAGGUCUUAGGAUUGUAAAAUUCUUUCACCGGGGACGAUAAUGACGUUACCCGGAGAAGAAGCCCCGGCUAACUUCGUG
Molecule: ribosomal RNA, 434 nt
Filed under: uncultured bacterium
Lineage: Bacteria
Description: partial 16S ribosomal RNA
Rfam family: Bacterial small subunit ribosomal RNA
Source: RNAcentral